AUUGACGCGUCAAUCACAUUGGUUCCACUGCACAGUUUUGUUUGCUGCAAAUCUUGAAGAAUUGUUUUUUUCGUAGCUGACGCCGAUCAAGUUGUUUUCCCAUAUUGUCCAUGAAGUAUAAGUAUUUGCAAGAACUUAUGCUGUGCAUCUUCAAUAGUAAGGAAUACAAUGCUUCAAUGCUUCAAUAAAGCAGGGAAUACAAUGGCUCUGGUGGUGGGACCAAUAAUGGCAAUUUACCACUAAGGCUGCACAAACCAGGCGUUUUUUCGUCAAGUACUAACGCGGCACUCUACUUGAACAAUGUCUCGUUGUUCUUCAGAUAAUUGACUCCGCUGGGAGAGAUUGGAUAUUCUAGGAAGUGGCAUGAUGAUCAGAUUGCUAAUUGGUUUGGUUUGAUAAUAUGGGUUACUAAACACUACACAAAACACAUUACUCGAAUUUCUCCGAUAGUUUUCACAAAAUAAAUGGUAUAUUACAACGACAUUAAAACAACAA
Molecule: long non-coding RNA, 495 nt
Organism: Drosophila willistoni
Lineage: Eukaryota; Metazoa; Arthropoda; Insecta; Diptera; Drosophilidae
Exons: 2
Source: RefSeq, a predicted model, not a curated record